CAGCCGCCGCGGUAAUACAGAGGAUGCAAGCGUUAUCCGGAAUGAUUGGGCGUAAAGCGUCUGUAGGUGGCUUUUCAAGUCCGCCAUCAAAUCCCUGGGCUCAACCCUGGACAGGCAGUGGAAACUACCAAGCUGGAGUACGGUAGGGGCAGAGGGAAUUUCCGGUGGAGAGGUGAAAUGCGUUGAGAUUGGAAAGAACACCAACGGUGAAAGCGCUCUGCUGGGCCGACACUGACACUGAGAGACGAAAUCUAGGGGAGCAGAUGGGAUUAGAUACCCCCGUAGUCCCUGUCUCUUAUAC
This 301-nucleotide ribosomal RNA is filed under the name uncultured bacterium. RNAcentral's name for it is "partial 16S ribosomal RNA". It matches the Rfam family "Bacterial small subunit ribosomal RNA", at positions 509 to 807 of the family's 1533-position model. The record is from RNAcentral.